GAGCGGCGAACGGGUGAGUAACACGUGAGUAACCUGCCCUGGACUUUGGGAUAACCCUCGGAAACGGGGGCUAAUACCGGAUACGACUGCUGAUCGCAUGGNUGGNNGUGGAAAGUUUUUCGGUCUGCGGAUGGGCUCGCGGCCUAUCAGCUUGUUGGUGGGGUGAUGGCCUACCAAGGCGACGACGGGUAGCCGGCCUGAGAGGGCGACCGGCCACACUGGGACUGAGACACGGCCCAGACUCCUACGGGAGGCAGCAGUGGGGAAUAUUGCACAAUGGGCGGAAGCCUGAUGCAGCGACGCCGCGUGAGGGAUGACGGCCUUCGGGUUGUAAACCUCUUUCAGCAGGGACGAAGCGAGAGUGACGGUACCUGCAGAAGAAGCGCCGGCCAACUACGUGCCCAGCAGCCCGCGGUAAGACGUAGGGCGCGAGCGUUUGUCCGGAUUUAUUGGGCGUAAAGAGCUCGUAGGCGGCUUGUCCGCGUCGUCCGUGAAAACUUGGGGCUCAACCCCAAGC
Molecule: ribosomal RNA, 517 nt
Filed under: Actinoplanes sp. 310C09
Lineage: Bacteria; Bacillati; Actinomycetota; Actinomycetes; Micromonosporales; Micromonosporaceae
Description: bacterial SSU rRNA
Rfam family: Bacterial small subunit ribosomal RNA
Source: RNAcentral